Molecule: ribosomal RNA, 300 nt
Filed under: Triticum aestivum (bread wheat)
Lineage: Eukaryota; Viridiplantae; Streptophyta; Magnoliopsida; Poales; Poaceae
Description: partial small subunit ribosomal RNA
Source: RNAcentral
GCAAAUAAUCAGCCUAUCACUUGGGAGGAGUUCAAGGAGAAUUUUCGUCAGACCCAUAUCCCAAAGGGAAAGAUGGAUAUCAAAAGGAGGGAGUUUCGCAAUCUCACUCAGGGUAGUAAGAGGAUAAAUGACUACCUAAACCAGUUUAAUGAUUUGGCAAGGUAUGCUCCGGAUGAUGUGAAUACAGAAGCCAAGAAGGUGGAAAAGUUUAUGGAGGGGCUGCAUCCAUUCCUGAAAAUGCACCUCUCGAUUCAUGGGAUCACCCAGUUUCAAGACCUUGUCAACAAGGCCUUCAUACUU